GACUUUCUUGGAAAUUAUGGUACUUAUCAAUUGAGUUAUAGUAUGUUGUUUUGGGUACACAAGAUCUGUAUGUUUUCUAUACAAACUUCAAACUAAGUUCAAGAAUAAGUUUUCAAGAACUACAAUGAAGUUCAACACCUUCAAACACAAACUCAAAUGAAUAAUCAAAAGAACUAUCAAAUGAAGUGUUUAUCAACUAUAAAGAAAUAAAAAUGACGCAGAAAUUUAAGAACCAAGUCCACUGACUUCACGGUAUGUCCUUAAGGAAUUUAUUCUCCUCAAGUAUCCAAGGUUAUGAAAUCUUUUCUCCCAGGAUAAAAUGGUUCACUUUCUGAACGUAGCGGUACCUCAAACUUUCAAAAAUUUCAAACGCACUCAACAAUUUGAUGAUCACAAGAGAGUUUUUAAGAAGAAGAAGAAUGUCUUCAACUCUAAAAAUUAUUGUCUUUACUUGAGGAAAAAUUCAAGUAUUUAUAGUCAUCAAGGUGUUGCUUUAGGAAGAGAAGCAAUGGUUCAGAAAGGUGCACCCUGUCAUAAAGGUGCAACUCUUUGAAAAGGUGCAACUCUUCGGAAAGAUUCAACCCAUUAGAAAAGUCAUAAUCAUUCAAUCCAAAACGGUGUUUAUUCAAAUUGCAUCCUUUCUCUUAGUGUCUUUCCUGAAAAAACACCACCUUUUCAUUUUUCAUUCACACCUCUUAAUAACCCAACAAUCCCCACAUGAAUGGGAAAUGUCUGUCUUAUAAAAUUUUUACGGAUAAGUAUAUGAUCAACAAGCAAAGACUGAUUGCAUUUGGAUGAGUGGGUUUCCCUUUGAACUUUCCGUAGUGAACAUGCAUCAGAUGCACUCAGUCAAUCGGUAGAUUUGAUAUCUUUGAACCAUCGAACUUUAAUGUACAUCUAGACAACGCAUAUCACACAACCAGUCUUUAACCGUUUAUGGUUCUCACAGUUUUAUUCGUUUCAGCCAUGAACACGUCCUGAUUUCAUGCGAGCGUAGAGAAUAGGCCUUUACUAACAAUCUCGUUGAAGUGACUUUCACUUUACCCUCACGUAGCUGAUUUCUAAAUGUUCAAUCCUAUAGAUAAAAUUAUUUGAUCAAAUUUGUUAAAUUUAGAUAAUAAUUAAAAAUCUUUACACCAUAAGCCCUAUCCUUGUUUACUAAAUAUUUUCUACAUCAUGAGAAAGAGUUGGAUAUAUUAACAAUGUUGAACCUGUUAGUCACAACUUUGUUUGAUCUCCUUGAACCUAGCUCUUGGGAUCUCCAGUCUGCUAGGUAGAGUUACCGCUAUGCUGACUUGUCCUAAGCCGUAAACCCAUUCCCUUCGAUGUUCCCUCAACUCCUUCUCUAGAUAGACCAUUAGUAAGUUGAUCCGACACAUUAUCCUUUGAAUUCACAUAGUCAACAGUGAUAAUUCCACUAGAGAGAAGUUCUCUAACAGUAUUAUGUCUCCGUCUUAUAUGACGAGAUUUACCGUUAUACAUCAUGCUCUCUACUCUACCUAUUGUCUCUUGGCUAUCACAGUGUAUACAUACUGGUGCCACUAGUUUGAGCCAAUAAGAAAUAUCUUUCAAGAAAUUUUGGAGUCAUUCAUCUUCUUCACUGGUUUUAUCUAAUGUGAUUAAUUCAGAUUCUAUUGUAAAGCAAGCAACACAUGUCUGUUUGGACGAUUUCCAAGAGACUGCUCCUCCACCUAAAGUAAAUGCAUAUCCACUUGUGGAUUUUACUUCAUUCGAUCCGGAGACCCAAUUUGCUUAUAUCCUUUAAUUACCGCUGGAUAUUUACUAUAAUGCAAAGCAUAGUCUUGAGUGUAUUUAAGAUACCCCAAAACUCUUUUCAUCUCCAUCCAAUGAGUUUUAUUGGAAUUACUCAUGUACCGACUCAAUUUACUAAUAGCACAUGCUAUGUCUGACCGUGUACAGUUCGUGAUAUACAUUAAACAUCCCAACACUCUUGCGUAGUCCAAUUGUGAGUCACUUUCACCUUCAUUCUUUUGAAGUGCAAAGUUCACGUCUAAUGGAGUCUUGACAAUACCGAAUUCCAAAUACUUGAUUGUCAAGUACCUUUUUAAUAUAAUGAGAUUGUGACAAUGCCAACCCAUGUGGAGUUUUAUGGAUUCUUAUUCCUAAGAUCACAUCCGCAACUCCAAGGUCUUUCAUAUCAAACUUGCUCUCAAGCAUUCGUUUCGUAGCAUUUAUGUCAGAAAUGUCUCUACUGAUGAUCAACAUAUCAUCCACAUACAAACAAGCAAUGAUUUGUGAUUUGGAGUGUCUUUAAUGUAAACACACUUAUCACAUUCGUUUAUCUUAAAUCAGUUUGCCAACAUGGUUUGGUCAAACUUUGCAUGCCAAUGUUUAGGUGCUUGUUUUAGUCCAUAGAGAGACUUAACAAGUUUGCGCACUUUCUUUUCUUUACCAGGAACCACAAAACCCUCGGAUUAUUCCAUGUAAAUUUCUUCUUCCAAUUCUCCAUUUAGGAAUGUUGUUUUCACAUCCAUUUGAUGGAUUUCAAGACAAUAUACUGUCGCCAAGGCAAUUAACAUCCGUAUUGACGUUAUCCUUUACAGGAGAGUAUGUAUCAAAGUAAUUAAGACUUUUCUUCUGUUUGAAGCCUUUUAUUGCAAGUCUUGCCUUGUAUUUGUCAAUAAUAUCGUCCACUUUCAUUUUUCUUUUGAAGAUCCAUUUAGAACCUAAAGGUUUAUUUCCUAGAGGAAGAUCAACCAACUCCCAACUAUGGUUGCUCAAGAUUGAAUCAAUCUCACUAUUGACUGUCUCUUUCCAGAAGGAUGAAUCUAAAGACGAUAUCGCUUCUUUAGAUGUUUGAGGCUCAUUUUCUAAGAGAAAUGUUACAAAAUUUGAUCCAAAUGAAGUUGACGUUCUUUGACUUGUACUACGUCUUGGAUUCUCACCUGUAUGUACGUCCUCACUUGGUUCAUCUCGAGAUUGUUUUGACCCUCCACUAGACUGUUUAUGUCUAGUUUUAUGCAGAUAAAUGUGUUCAAAAACAUUAUCUGAUUCAAUUACCAUAUUUACAUUAAUAUCCGGAUGUUCAAAUUUAUGAACCAAAAACUGACAUACUUUACUAUUUUUAGCAUAUCCUAUGAACACACAGUCCAUUGCCUUAGGUCCUAUCUUCUUGGACUUUCGUUAGACACCCCCACACUUUGAAAUAUUUCAAGUUGGGUUUCCUUUAUUUCCAUUUUUCAUAUGGAAUUGAUUGUGUCUUACUAUGGGGCACUCUAUUGAGUAUUUGGUUAGCUGUAAGGAUAGCUUCCCCUAUAAGUUUUGCGGUAAACUUGAACUUAUAAAUAAGACAUUCAUCAUUUCCUUUAAGGUUCGAUUUUUUCUUUCCGCAAUUUCAUUAGAUUGAGGUGAAUACGGGACCGUAGUUUGAUGGACAAUUUUAUUUUCUCCAUAAAUUUCUGCAAAGGGAGAUUCAUAUUCUCCACCCCUAUCACUUACUCUUACAUCUUUGGGGGUCCUGAUAAAUCACAUGCAUUCAAGGAUGUGGUCUAACGGUCAACGAAGAGUUACUCUACAUAUAUAUAACAUGUUUAGGUACUUCAUGUUAUUUCACCUUAUCCAUAACAUUAUUUAAAAAUAAAAUUUGCCUGUUCUAUAUGGAGUAGUUGUCAAAGCAACACACAAAAAUAUGUAACAAAUGGAAACGCUGAGAAUGACAGGGGUUUUUAUUGAUUUAUUGAGGUAUAUGUGUAUUAUUAAAGGGAAUGACAUAUUUUAUGUGGUUAAUUUAACUAACUAAUAGACAAAUGAGAACACAUGAAAAAAAAUGCAAAUUGACGUUUUUAUUUGUAUUUUAUAAUUCUUCUUGUAUUUGUAUUUUAUAGUUCACAACAUCAUUUAUAUUUUGGUAUUCGUUGAUACAAUUGUACAUGUAUUUUAGUCAUCCCUACAUGUGGAGAUACACUGUGUAUACUUCCAUGUUACACAUUUCCAAUUCUCUUUUUAACAGACAUUCGCCUAGUGCUCAAUAAAGUAGUUAAGAACCAUGACUCGUCCUCUGUUCUAGAACCAUCCGCAAUUCAACAUAGAACUACUUCUAUCAAAUAAAAACUCAAAAACUGUGUGUUUCUCCUGCUGCUUCCCCCCACCCCCACCACCACCACCCGAAGUUUUUAUCAGAGGAGGACGAUUGCGGUGGUUGCGACGGAGGAAGCGAAAGAGGACGGUGGUGGUGGGGGUAGGGGUGAGGGGUGGGAGGAAGCAGCAGGUGAAACACUUGGAAAUACAUCGUCAGCUUUCAUUCUCUCAGCAAUUUCAAAAGAAAGAGCUUUGGCAUUGAUAUAGGCUUGAAUAAGAAGUUCGGUCAACGAAGAGUUACUCUAUAUAUAUAACGUUACAACAAAAAUCAAACACUCUUGGUGUUUACUUUUAGUGGAUCUUUUUAGCGUAAUACAUAAAUCGUCUCUAUCAUUUUGAUCUUUUUUUCUAACUGAUUUUCAACUUCUGUUUUAUAUUUGCCUAAAUGCACUUAUUGCUUCAUUCUUACUGUUUAGCAAAUAGACAUAAUAAUACCUAGUGUAAUCUUCAAUAAAAGUUAUAAAAUACUUUUUCCCACCACGAGAUGGUGUUGACUUCAUAUCACAAAUGUCAGUAUGAAUUAAGUUUAAGGGAUUGGAAUUUCGUUAAACGGACUUAUACGGAUGCUUAACAUACUUUGAUUCCACACACGUUUGACAUUUUGAUUUAUUGCACUUAAAGUUUGGCAAAACUUUUGAGUUAAGCAGUUUUCGCAAAGUUUUGUAAUUGACAUGUCCUAAUCGUUCAUGCCACAAUUCAUUAGACUCAAGCAAAUAAGAAGAAACAGAACUUUUAUUGAUUUCAACUGUCAUUACAUUCAUCUUAAAUAGGCCCUUGGUGAGGUAACCUUUUCCUAUGUACACUUUUCCUUUACUAAGUACAAUCUUGUCUGAAACAAAUACACAUUUAAAUCCAUUUUUGUCAAGAAGUGAUACGGAAAUCAAGUUCUUUCUUAACUUCGGUACGUAAAGGACAUUGUUAAGAGUCAACACUUUGCCUGACGUUAUUUUUAAGCAGACCUUUUCCCGUCCUUUUAACUUUUGCAAUUGCGGAGUUUGCCAUAUAGACCUUCUUUUCGCCUUGAGCCGGAGCAAAUGCAGCAAAGAACUCUUUAUUGGCACAAACGUGGUGGGUGGCGCUGGAAUCCAUCCACCAUUCUCUUAGAUUUCCCACCAAGUUGCAUUCAAAAAGCAUGACACAUAGAUCAUCCAUUUCAUUCUUAGAUUCAGCCACAUUCGCUUGAACCUUCUUUUUGCCUUUCUUUGGGGAAUGACAAUCUGUUGACUUGUGGCCAAUCUUGCGACAAUUAAAGCAUUUUCUCAUGAAUUUCUUCUUAGGUUGAUUGCUUUCUUGUCCAACUUUCUUCCACUUCUUCUAGUUGUUGGGGUCGUCUUCGACAAAGCUAGCUCCACUUAUUGCAGAAUUUCCUUUCAACCUCCUCUCUGCGGCUUUGUUGUCUUCCUCAAUGCGCAAUCUCACAAUGAGGUCUUCGACUGUCAUUUUCGUUCAUUUAUGUUUUAAGUAAUUUUUGAAGUCCUUCCACAAAGGUGACAACUUCUCUAUUAUUGUAGUAAUUUGAAAUGCCUCGUUCACAACCAAACCUACAAUAAAGUUCGUGUGAUCAUUAAGAACAUUAUUAACAUGUUCAAAUAAGGUAAUCACUAAAUUCAUACCUUUAGAAAGGAGAUCGUGGAUGAUGAAUUGCAAUUCCUGUACUUGAGAUACGACAGUCUUAUUGUCAAUCAUUUUGUACUCAAGGAAUCUUGCAACAAAGAACUUCUUUGUUCCAGCAUCCUCAGUCUUAUAUUUCUUUUCCAGCGCAUUCCAUAACUCUUUUGAUGUCUUUAUUCCGCUAAACGUUGUAUAAAUUAUCUUGGGGGCCACUUAGGAUAUAAUUCUUACAUAGGAAAUCAAAAUGUUUUCAUGUCUCUAUUACAACGAACCGCUCCUUGUCCGAAGUUUCUUAGGGAACUUCUGGAGCAUAUUUAGAUAUAAAUCUUUGAAGGCACAAGGUUUUCAGAUAGAAGAACAUCUUCGGUUGCCACCACUUAAAAUCUAUUCACGAAAUUUUUUUGGGCUUUUCCGCUAGUGUAAUAGCGGGUGGCGCAGUUGUGUGACUGGUUGUAGCAACAUUCAUUGCUGCCACACUUGUCAUACCUUCAGUUACAUGACCAUCGGUAGUCAUUUUUUCUUGUCACAAAAAAACAAUCACCUUUAGUAUAUCAAAAUACUAAUUACAAAUUUAUAGAAAAUUUUAAACACUACUUAUUUCUAGUUUAACGAUGAAGUUUUUAUGUCUUCCAAUCGUUAACCGAAUGACCUUUAACUUGUGAUGAAGUUUGUAUUUCUUCAAAUCACUUGUUAAGUUCAAACAGAGUAGAAAGCAUAAAGUUUUAAUCUCUAGAAACUAAACAAUACAGAUUACGAAAAUACUUUAGUAAAAAGAAAAUUUUACCAAACAAAUAAAAAAAUAUUUCUUUUACAAAUUAAAUUCCUUAAGAUUGAUACAAACUUCAAAUUAGGUUCAAGAAUAAGUUUUCAAGAACUACAAUGAAGUUCAACACCUUCAAACACAAGUUCAAAUGAAUAAUCAAAAGAACUAUCAAAUGAAGUGUUUAUUAACUAUAAAGAAAGGAAGAUGAAGCAGAAAUUUAAGAACCAAGUCCACCAACUUCACAGUAUGUCCUUAAGGAAUUUAUUCUCCUCAAGUACCUGAGGUUAUGGAAUCUUUCCUCCCAAGAUAAAAUGGUUCACUUUCUGAAAGUAGCGGUAAUGUCACACCUUUCUUUUUACCAAAACGAUACAUUUUUAAGUUUGAAAAGAGUUUAUUAUUAAGUGACAAAAGAAAAUAAUUUAUUUCGAAAAAGACUUUUAACAAUUAAAAUCCAGAGUCACCACUUGACAUAAAUUUGGUAUGCCAAGUCACCUUUGAAAAUCCUUUUACAAAACGAUUUUGACUCUUUUAAGCUGGUCCGCGAACGGAGAUUCCGGCUAAGGAAUUCUGUUGACCGAGGGGAAGGUGUUAGGCAUUCCUCCAUCCCGUGGUUCAACCACGGCCGCUUCGUGGAGUAUAUCGGCUAGUAUGAUGCAAUGAAGUGAAUAGACCAACAAAACACAUAAAACAAGCAAACAAACAAACAAAGAAAGUUCAAAACUAAAAUAAUGUCCAAUUCGAAUUAUACAGUCCCCAAAAUAGAAAAAUAUGAAAAUGUAAAUCCUAUUCUAAACUAAUCCUAGACUAAGCUCCACCCGACUCCUCAGGCCUUGAUCGCAAACCUCCUUUGCGUACAUGAUACUUCGAGGCAUUCACAAUCAUAUAAAAAUUAAAGGGAGAGAAGAUAGAAUUGGAUCUCAAAUGCUUUUCCAAUUGGAAUAAUCCUUCCGACUAGAACCACGAUCGGAAUCUCAAAUCGACCUCAACCAACGGACAAAACCAACUCGGUAUCGAAUUCAACCCCUAACACAUUUCAAAAUCAGCCGGGUAACCUCAAUGCUAAGCAGAUUUUGACUUAACCAUAAAUGGGUCUCGACGGAACCGAAGCUGGGUUCGUUGUUUCUAGGACUGGCAAUUUCAGCUCAUAUUUGUGAAAAGAGUUCAUUUAACCCAUAUUUAUUGAAUUCGAUCACUUAUAUUUCAAAUGGGUAAAUAUGGACUUUAACUCAUUUUUAAAUCUCAUACAAAUAUGGACAGAAUAGGUAAAAUAUGGAUACCCAUUUAAACACAAAGAUCACCCACCCAUGCUUAAAAUUUCAAUUUUUUUUUCUUUUCUAGUUUUUUUUUUUU
This 7822-nucleotide long non-coding RNA is filed under the name Capsicum annuum. RNAcentral's name for it is "long non-coding RNA (CANN_LNC014718)". Lineage: Eukaryota; Viridiplantae; Streptophyta; Magnoliopsida; Solanales; Solanaceae. The record is from RNAcentral.